AUGUAGAAUAAGUAGUUAUUUUCAGAAUGUAGAUACCUAGUGUAUAGUGUAAAUAAGGAUAGAUAACUGUUGAAAAGGUGGUUCAGCAAGUAGAAUGGAUGAAUAGUCAGGAAAAGUAGUUAUCAUCUGUAGUAUAGGAGUUGGUAUCUUGGGGUAGUAUAAGGAGGAUGGAAGAGGGGAAGAAAAUACCAAGCUACGAUAGUACUGAGCCGGAGAUAAGCUUGGUGCUAUUUCUUCUUCUUAAGUUUUCUUGUUUCUUUUGUGUUAGUGUUGAUUCUAGUGAAGAAGAUUGAUUUAAUGAAUCAAUGUUUGAUUUA
RNAcentral lists this long non-coding RNA (317 nucleotides) under Physcomitrium patens. RNAcentral's name for it is "long non-coding RNA (PPAT_LNC008485)". Lineage: Eukaryota; Viridiplantae; Streptophyta; Bryopsida; Funariales; Funariaceae. The record is from RNAcentral.